RNAcentral lists this ribosomal RNA (253 nucleotides) under uncultured bacterium. RNAcentral describes it as "partial 16S ribosomal RNA". It matches the Rfam family "Bacterial small subunit ribosomal RNA", at positions 524 to 776 of the family's 1533-position model. The record is from RNAcentral.
UACAGAGGUCCCAAGCGUUGUUCGGAUUCAUUGGGCGUAAAGGGUGCGUAGGCGGCGCGGUAAGUCGGGUGUGAAAUCUCGGAGCUUAACUCCGAAACUGCAUUCGAUACUGCGGUGCUCGAGGACUGGAGAGGAGACUGGAAUUCAUGGUGUAGCAGUGAAAUGCGUAGAGAUCAUGAGGAAGACCAGUGGCGAAGGCGGGUCUCUGGACAGUUCCUGACACUGAGGCACGAAGGCCAGGGGAGCAAACGGG